GGGCCGUUAGCUCAGUUGGUAGAGCACCUGACUUUUAAUCAGGGUGUCACAGGUUCGAUUCCUGUACGGCCUACCA
RNAcentral lists this transfer RNA (76 nucleotides) under Chloroflexota bacterium. RNAcentral's name for it is "Chloroflexi bacterium (freshwater metagenome) tRNA-Lys". It matches the Rfam family "tRNA". Rfam says of the family: Transfer RNA (tRNA) molecules are approximately 80 nucleotides in length. Their secondary structure includes four short double-helical elements and three loops (D, anti-codon, and T loops). The record is from RNAcentral. Lineage: Bacteria; Bacillati; Chloroflexota.